Long non-coding RNA from Rhipicephalus sanguineus (brown dog tick), 383 nucleotides. RefSeq lists it as uncharacterized. The record is from RefSeq and is a predicted model, not a curated record. Lineage: Eukaryota; Metazoa; Arthropoda; Arachnida; Ixodida; Ixodidae. The transcript is spliced from 4 exons.
AUAUAUGGGUGGUGAUGAUAUUUAGCAUCAUCCGGAAAGUCAAGCAUCUAUAUUUGGUCUACGACAAUUUGCCUACUGGUCAUCAAAGAUGCUGGAAUUUUUUCAAAACGCCAACUACACGUGCAAGCUUACUUUGAAGAUGUUCUGUGUGACUAUCCCAUAGCAUGAAUACAUUAAAGUAGACUCCAAGCAUUCUGUGUUAGUAAUUUCUAUGGCAUUCCCUCCUAAGUCCUUUUUACCUGGCUAACCACUGUCUCGGCAUAACUUGACAUGCUUGCAGAUAUUGAACAGCUGAUGGUGCGACAAGAAUCCCAGUAUCUUCCUUGCUGUACAUUUUGAAACAAUUCUUGAACAUACAAUUUCCGUCGUGAAGUGGUACAUCC